This is a long non-coding RNA of Talpa occidentalis (Iberian mole), 552 nucleotides long. RefSeq lists it as uncharacterized. The record is from RefSeq and is a predicted model, not a curated record. Lineage: Eukaryota; Metazoa; Chordata; Mammalia; Eulipotyphla; Talpidae. The transcript has 4 exons.
GUGAGGGCAGCCUGAGGGGGGUGGGCCCACUGCAGUGUGGAUUUUAAAGAAGCUGUCUCUGCUCUCUAGUGAUUCUCCAGCCUCCCUCAGACCUUCCACCAACUACUGGGCUCUGGCCCUAGGGAAAGUGCUGGAAGGGGAAACGACUUCUUCACCUGCUGCUGAGCCUCAGGACAGGACUGGCCUACAGGUGCAAUGCUCUGGCACACUUAAUGGACUACAAUGGACUUACUAGACUACAAAAAAAGCAGCCGCAGGAGACAGAGUACAUCUGUGAUGAAAAUCUACCGAAGCUGAGACCCAUUCCUUUCCAAGUCCUGUUCCUGCUCGUCGUAGGAUGCGCUGUCUGUGAAAGCUUUGAAGCGGGUGGCAGCGCCUUUGGAGAUGAGGGAAGGCUGGUCAGAGAGCACCAGUGAGCAGGUGCCACCUCUGGCACCUGGUCAUGCCCCAGGUGUGAGAGCUGUGAUAUCUCCAGCCACAACAUCAGCGUUGAUGAUACUCACUGUCAGGUGAGUCCCUGCACAGCGCUGUGCCUAUGAUGGGGAGGGAAUG